UACGAAGGGGGCUAGCGUUGUUCGGAAUUACUGGGCGUAAAGGGCGCGUAGGCGGUUCUGUAAGUCCCGCGUGAAAUCCCCCGGCUCAACUGGGGAACUGCGCGGGAAACUGUGGGGCUAGAGUUCAGGAGAGGGAAGCGGAAUUCCGGGUGUAGCGGUGAAAUGCGUAGAUAUCCGGAGGAACACCGGUGGCGAAGGCGGCUUCCUGGACUGACACUGACGCUGAGGCGCGAAAGCUAGGGGAGCAAACGGG
RNAcentral lists this ribosomal RNA (253 nucleotides) under uncultured bacterium. Its description in RNAcentral is "partial 16S ribosomal RNA". It matches the Rfam family "Bacterial small subunit ribosomal RNA", at positions 524 to 776 of the family's 1533-position model. The record is from RNAcentral.